Molecule: long non-coding RNA, 544 nt
Filed under: Pan troglodytes (chimpanzee)
Lineage: Eukaryota; Metazoa; Chordata; Mammalia; Primates; Hominidae
Description: lincRNA
Source: RNAcentral
AGCAAUCAGCCAGACUCCAUGGGGUAGGACCCUCCGAGCCAGGUGCGGGAUAUAAUCUCGUGGUCCGCCAUUUUUUAAGCCCGGCGGAAAAGCGCAGUAUUCGCGUGGGAGUGACCCGAUUUUCCAGGUGCCGUCCGUCACCCCUUUCUUUGAUUAGGAAAGGGAACUCCCUGACCCCUUGCGCUUCCCGAGUGAGGCAAUGCCUCGCCCUGCUUCGGCUCGCACACGGUGCGCGCACCCACUGACCUGCGCCCACUGUCUGGCACUCCCUAGUGAGAUGAACCCGGUACCUCAGAUGGAAAUGCAGAAAUCACCCGUCUUCUGCGUCGCUCAGGCUGGUUGCUGUAGACCGGAGCUGUUCCUAUUCGGCCAUCUUGCCUCCUCCCCCCGAAUUUUCUUAAUUGACCCUGGGCCAGGGAAAGAAAUGAAUGAAGAUGCCACCUUAUGCCCAGAACACUUCUCUCAUUCAAUGAUAAAGGAUUUGUGGUUGGGUCAACUUUUGUUAUGCUCAACUCUUUCCUUCGUAAGGAUGGGCUCUUUCUCA